Long non-coding RNA from Macrobrachium nipponense, 395 nucleotides. RefSeq lists it as uncharacterized. The record is from RefSeq and is a predicted model, not a curated record. The transcript is spliced from 2 exons. NCBI's taxonomy places the organism in Eukaryota, Metazoa, Arthropoda, Malacostraca, Decapoda, Palaemonidae.
UUUAUAUUCUUCGUCGUAGUGCUGGACAUUUUUCAGGACAACACAACGAUGGGACUCAUUGUGUUCAGUGCUAUGAAUACUGAGUGUAAUACCAUGAAGAAUUAAAUUAUCUCUACACCUCGUCUGAUGAAUAUGGAGGCGACCUCAGUGAUGGCUAUGGAAUUAUCAUAUCCAUUCUCUAUUUCAUCCUAUGAAGUCACUAUAAGGGCUGGCUCAAGGUGGAGUGGAAAGCUUGGGACAGGAGUAUAUCUGCCAAUGCUUUUAGGUUUGCUGACCAGAAGCAGUUACUACUCCAAGUGAACUAGCAUCAACUGACAACCAACUACAUAUUAUAAAUUUCUCAAAAUGAAUCUACAGAUGUUAGUUUCUGUAUUGCAAAUAAAUAUUUUUUAUAA